UACGUAGGGUCCGAGCGUUGUCCGGAAUUACUGGGCGUAAAGAGCUCGUAGGUGGUUUGUCGCGUUGUUCGUGAAAACUCACAGCUUAACUGUGGGCGUGCGGGCGAUACGGGCAGACUUGAGUACUGCAGGGGAGACUGGAAUUCCUGGUGUAGCGGUGGAAUGCGCAGAUAUCAGGAGGAACACCGGUGGCGAAGGCGGGUCUCUGGGCCGAUAUUGACGCUGAUGCACGAAAAGCUAGGGGGAGCAAACAGG
Molecule: ribosomal RNA, 255 nt
Filed under: uncultured bacterium
Lineage: Bacteria
Description: partial 16S ribosomal RNA
Rfam family: Bacterial small subunit ribosomal RNA
Source: RNAcentral